AGAGUUUGAUCCUGGCUCAGGAUGAACGCUAGCGGCAGGCUUAACACAUGCAAGUCGAGGGGUAUGCUUCUUCGGAAGUAGAGACCGGCGCACGGGUGCGUAACGCGUAUGCAAUCUACCUUUUACAGAGGGAUAGCCCAGAGAAAUUUGGAUUAAUACCUCAUAGUAUUAUGAAAUGGCAUCAUUUUAUAAUUAAAGUCACAACGGUAAAAGAUGAGCAUGCGUCCCAUUAGCUAGUUGGUAAGGUAACGGCUUACCAAGGCUACGAUGGGUAGGGGUCCUGAGAGGGAGAUCCCCCACACUGGUACUGAGACACGGACCAGACUCCUACGGGAGGCAGCAGUGAGGAAUAUUGGACAAUGGGCGCAAGCCUGAUCCAGCCAUGCCGCGUGCAGGAUGACGGUCCUAUGGAUUGUAAACUGCUUUUGUACAGGAAGAAACACUGGUUCGUGAACCAGCUUGACGGUACUGUAAGAAUAAGGAUCGGCUAACUCCGUGCCAGCAGCCGCGGUAAUACGGAGGAUCCAAGCGUUAUCCGGAAUCAUUGGGUUUAAAGGGUCCGUAGGCGGUUUAAUAAGUCAGUGGUGAAAGCCCAUCGCUCAACGGUGGAACGGCCAUUGAUACUGUUAAACUUGAAUUAUUAGGAAGUAACUAGAAUAUGUAGUGUAGCGGUGAAAUGCUUAGAGAUUACAUGGAAUACCAAUUGCGAAGGCAGGUUACUACUAAUUGAUUGACGCUGAUGGACGAAAGCGUGGGUAGCGAACAGGAUUAGAUACCCUCGUAGUCC
This 787-nucleotide ribosomal RNA is filed under the name uncultured bacterium. RNAcentral describes it as "bacterial SSU rRNA". It matches the Rfam family "Bacterial small subunit ribosomal RNA", at positions 8 to 796 of the family's 1533-position model. The record is from RNAcentral.